This 460-nucleotide ribosomal RNA is filed under the name uncultured bacterium. Its description in RNAcentral is "partial 16S ribosomal RNA". It matches the Rfam family "Bacterial small subunit ribosomal RNA", at positions 338 to 795 of the family's 1533-position model. The record is from RNAcentral.
CCUACGGGAGGCAGCAGUGAGGAAUAUUGGUCAAUGGACGAGAGUCUGAACCAGCCAAGUAGCGUGAAGGAUGACUGCCCUAUGGGUUGUAAACUUCUUUUAUAUGGGAAUAAAAUGUUCCACGUGUGGGCUUUUGUAUGUACCAUAUGAAUAAGGAUCGGCUAACUCCGUUCCAGCAGCCGCGGUAAUACGGAGGAUCCGAGCGUUAUCCGGAUUUAUUGGGUUUAAAGGGGGCGUAGGUGGAUUGUUAAGUCAGUUGUGAAAGUUUGCGGCUCAACCGUAAAAUUGCAGUUGAAACUGGCAGUCUUGAGUACAGUAGAGGUGGGCGGAAUUCGUGGUGUAGCGGUGAAAUGCUUAGAUAUCACGAAGAACUCCGAUUGCGAAGGCAGCUCACUGGACUGCAACGGACACUGAGGCUCGAAAGUGUGGGUAUCAAACAGGAUUAGAUACCCUGGUAGUC